RNAcentral lists this ribosomal RNA (429 nucleotides) under Gemmatimonadota bacterium. RNAcentral describes it as "Gemmatimonadetes bacterium partial 16S ribosomal RNA". It matches the Rfam family "Bacterial small subunit ribosomal RNA", at positions 355 to 776 of the family's 1533-position model. The record is from RNAcentral. Lineage: Bacteria; Pseudomonadati; Gemmatimonadota.
UAGGGAAUCUUCGGCAAUGGACGAAAGUCUGACUGAGCAACGCCGCGUGAGUGAAGAAGGUUUUCGGAUCGUAAAACUCUGUUGUUAGAGAAGAACAAGGACGUUAGUAACUGAACGUCCCCUGACGGUAUCUAACCAGAAAGCCACGGCUAACUACGUGCCAGCAGCCGCGGUAAUACGUAGGUGGCAAGCGUUGUCCGGAUUUAUUGGGCGUAAAGCGAGCGCAGGCGGUUUCUUAAGUCUGAUGUGAAAGCCCCCGGCUCAACCGGGGAGGGUCAUUGGAAACUGGGAGACUUGAGUGCAGAAGAGGAGAGUGGAAUUCCAUGUGUAGCAGUGAAAUGCGUAGAUAUAUGGAGGAACACCAGUGGCGAAGGCGGCUCUCUGGUCUGUAACUGACGCUGAGGCUCGAAAGCGUGGGGAGCAAACAGG